AUUGAACGCUGGCGGCAGGCCUAACACAUGCAAGUCGAGCGGAUGAGAGGAGCUUGCUUCUCGAUUCAGCGGCGGACGGGUGAGUAAUGCCUAGGAAUCUGCCUGGUAGUGGGGGACAACGUUUCGAAAGGAACGCUAAUACCGCAUACGUCCUACGGGAGAAAGCAGGGGACCUUCGGGCCUUGCGCUAUCAGAUGAGCCUAGGUCGGAUUAGCCAGUUGGUGAGGUAAUGGCUCACCAAGGCGACGAUCCGUAACUGGUCUGAGAGGAUGAUCAGUCACACUGGAACUGAGACACGGUCCAGACUCCUAUGGGAGGCAGCAGUGUGGAAUAUUGGACAAUGGGCGAAAGCCUGAUCCAGCCAUGCCGCGUGUGUGAAGAAGGUCUUCGGAUUGUAAAGCACUUUAAGUUGGGAGGAAGGGUUGUAGAUUAAUACUCUGCAAUUUUGACGUUACCGACAGAAUAAGCACCGGCUAACUCUGUGCCAGCCGCCGCGGUAA
RNAcentral lists this ribosomal RNA (500 nucleotides) under uncultured bacterium. RNAcentral describes it as "partial 16S ribosomal RNA". It matches the Rfam family "Bacterial small subunit ribosomal RNA", at positions 30 to 523 of the family's 1533-position model. The record is from RNAcentral.